RNAcentral lists this ribosomal RNA (500 nucleotides) under uncultured bacterium. RNAcentral's name for it is "partial 16S ribosomal RNA". It matches the Rfam family "Bacterial small subunit ribosomal RNA", at positions 30 to 523 of the family's 1533-position model. The record is from RNAcentral.
AUUGAACGCUGGCGGCAGGCCUAACACAUGCAAGUCGAGCGGAUGAGAGGAGCUUGCUCCUCGAUUCAGCGGCGGACGGGUGAGUAAUGCCUAGGAAUCUGCCCAGUAGUGGGGGACAACGUUUCGAAAGGAACGCUAAUACCGCAUACGUCCUACGGGAGAAAGUGGGGGAUCUUCGGACCUCACGCUAUUGGAUGAGCCUAGGUCGGAUUAGCUAGUUGGUAGGGUAAAGGCCUACCAAGGCGACGAUCCGUAACUGGUCUGAGAGGAUGAUCAGUCACACUGGAACUGAGACACGGUCCAGACUCCUACGGGAGGCAGCAGUGGGGAAUAUUGGACAAUGGGCGCAAGCCUGAUCCAGCCAUGCCGCGUGUGUGAAGAAGGCCCUCGGGCCGUAAAGCACUUUAAGUUGGGAGGAAGGGCUUACAGCGAAUACCUGUGAGUUUUGAUGUUACCGACAGAAUAAGCACCGGCUAACUUCGUGCCAGCCGCCGCGGUAA